RNAcentral lists this ribosomal RNA (1078 nucleotides) under uncultured Sulfitobacter sp. Its description in RNAcentral is "bacterial SSU rRNA". It matches the Rfam family "Bacterial small subunit ribosomal RNA", at positions 10 to 1064 of the family's 1533-position model. The record is from RNAcentral. Lineage: Bacteria; Pseudomonadati; Pseudomonadota; Alphaproteobacteria; Rhodobacterales; Roseobacteraceae.
AGUUUGAUCCUGGCUCAGAACGAACGCUGGCGGCAUGCCUAACACAUGCAAGUCGAACGAGAAAGUCACUUCGGUGGCGAGUAAAGUGGCGCACGGGUGCGUAACACGUAGGUGACCUGCCUUUUAGUGGGGGAUAACGUGGAGAAAUUCACGCUAAUACCGCAUAAGUACUGCAAAUUUGAAAGUAGCAGUAGAAAGAGUGCCUCUUUGCAAUGCACUUGCUGAAAGAUGGGCCUGCGGAACAUUAGCUUGAUGGUGGGGUAAUGGCCUACCAUGGCUACGAUGUUUAGCUGGUCUGAGAGGAUGAUCAGCCGCACUGGAACUGAGACACGGUCCAGACUCCUACGGGAGGCAGCAGUGGGGAAUAUUGCACAAUGGGCGCAAGCCUGAUGCAGCCAUGCCGCGUGUGUGAAGAAGGCCUUCGGGUUGUAAAGCACUUUCAGCGAGGAGGAAAGUUUAGUGGUUAAUACCCAUUAGAUGUGACGUUACUCGCAGAAGAAGGACCGGCUAACUCCGUGCCAGCAGCCGCGGUAAUACGGAGGGGGCUAGCGUUGUUCGGAAUUACUGGGCGUAAAGCGUGCGUAGGCGGAUUAGAAAGUAUGGGGUGAAAUCCCAGGGCUCAACCCUGGAACUGCCUCAUAAACUCCUAGUCUUGAGUUCUGGAGAGGUAAGUGGAAUUCCUAGUGUAGAGGUGAAAUUCGUAGAUAUUAGGAGGAACACCAGAGGCGAAGGCGGCUUACUGGACAGAUACUGACGCUGAGGCACGAAAGUGUGGGGAGCAAACAGGAUUAGAUACCCUGGUAGUCCACACCGUAAACGAUGAGAGCUAGUUGUCUGCAAGCAUGCUUGUAGGUGACGCAGCUAACGCAUUAAGCUCUCCGCCUGGGGAGUACGGUCGCAAGAUUAAAACUCAAAGAAAUUGACGGGGGCCCGCACAAGCGGUGGAGCAUGUGGUUUAAUUCGAAGCAACGCGCAGAACCUUACCUACCCUUGACAUGCCGGUCGAGUUUUCCAGAGAUGGAUUACGUCAACUCGGUUGGACCGUGCACAGGUGCUGCAUGGCUGUCGUCAGCUCGUG